RNAcentral lists this long non-coding RNA (1002 nucleotides) under Homo sapiens (human). Its description in RNAcentral is "non-protein coding lnc-TLE3-6:1". Lineage: Eukaryota; Metazoa; Chordata; Mammalia; Primates; Hominidae. The record is from RNAcentral.
GCGUUGGUGGGCGCGCCGCGGGCUCUAAAAGCUCGACUGUCGGCCGGGCGCUGUGGCGCACGCCUGUAAUCCCAGCACUUUGGGAGGGCAAGGUGGGUGGAUCAAAGUUCGCGACCAGCCUGACCAACAUGGUGAAACUACGUCUCUACUAAAUUAGCCAGGCGUAGUGGCUCAUGCCUAUAAUCCGAGCUACUUGGGAGGCUGAGACAGGAGACUCGCUUGUACCCGGCAGGCGGAGGUUGCAGUGAGCCAAGAUUGCGCCAUUGCACUCCAGCCUCGGCAACAAGAGCGAAACUCCGUCUCAAAAAAAAAAAAAGCUCAACUGUGGGCCUGCGACCUUCACGCGCCAGCGCUGGAGAGGUGCCAGGCUCCCUGGGGCCGAGACCGGGGCAGAGGACGACACUUCGUCUGGCCGCCUAGCCUCGGCCUCUAAGCUUCCUGCAUCUUCUUCAUCGUAGGUGAUGUUGGACGUGACAGAGGAGGUGACAGGUCACCCUGAGUGCGGGACUCCGUGUCCAGAAGGAAGUGGGCCUCCAGGUGCCACGCCUUUGCUUCUGCUGUGGCAUCUGAUGAGUUCCCUGUUCAUCUCUCCAGGCAUUCCCAGGGCAGUCAGCCCUGAUGCCCAGGGGCUAGGCUUGCAAGACCGCGCAUUAGGUUCGCAGAGCUAGAGUGCAAGGCCAGACCUGGUACCAACAGCAUCUCCGCCUUCGUCCUCAUCUGGUUCCCGCCUCAAACCUGUACCUGUGCGGAGGAGCCUGGAAGAACUAAAACUAUAGUUCCAGCUACUUCAGAGGCUAAGGUGGGAAGAUGGCUUGAAUCCAGGAGGUCGAGGCUGCAGUGAGCUGUGAUCUCACCACUGCACUGAUCUCACCACUGCACUCCAGCCUGGGCAACAAAGCAAAACCCUGUCUCAAAAAAUAAAGUAAAAUGAAAGAAUUCAAAAUAAUUAUGCAGCAAAAUGUUUACUGUAUUUCUAUAAAUUCAAAUAAAACAUGCCAAAUC